RNAcentral lists this ribosomal RNA (224 nucleotides) under uncultured bacterium. RNAcentral describes it as "partial 16S ribosomal RNA". It matches the Rfam family "Bacterial small subunit ribosomal RNA", at positions 326 to 539 of the family's 1533-position model. The record is from RNAcentral.
ACGCUCGACACCUACGGGAAGCAGCAGUAGGGAAUCUUCCGCAAUGGACGAAAGUCUGACGGAGCAACGCCGCGUGAACGAUGAAGGUUUUCGGAUCGUAAAGUUCUGUUGUUAGGGAAGAACAAACUUCGUUUGAAUAAGGCGGAGUCAUGACGGUACCUAACGAGAAAGCCACGGCUAACUACGUGCCAACAGCCGCGGUAAUCUGAGCGGGCUGGCAAGGC